CGUAGGGUGCGAGCGUUAAUCGGAAUUACUGGGCGUAAAGCGUGCGCAGGCGGCUUGUUAAGAUAGGCGUGAAAUCCCCGGGCUCAACCUGGGAACUGCGCUUAUGGCUGGCAAGCUAGAGUACGGCAGAGGGGGGUGGAAUUCCACGUGUAGCAGUGAAAUGCGUAGAGAUGUGGAGGAACACCAAUGGCGAAGGCAGCCCCCUGGGUCGAUACUGACGCUCAUGCACGAAAGCGUGGGUAGCAAACAGGAUUAGAUACCCUGGUAGUCCACGCCCUAAACGAUGUCAACUAGGUGUUGGGAGGGUAAAACCUUUUAGUACCGGAGCUAACGCGUGAAGUUGACCGCCUGGGGAGUACGGCCGCAAGGUUA
RNAcentral lists this ribosomal RNA (372 nucleotides) under uncultured organism. Its description in RNAcentral is "bacterial SSU rRNA". It matches the Rfam family "Bacterial small subunit ribosomal RNA", at positions 526 to 896 of the family's 1533-position model. The record is from RNAcentral.